UGCUGCCAUUUUAUGAUUGAAAUAACUCUGACUAUUCUCAUUUAAGACUGAAAAUGAUCACAAUUUAUGCUAAAUGUGUAACUGAAAGGAGGGCUGCUGAUAACUAUCAUUCUAUGCUUAUCUGCCUUUUAUUUUCUGAUUAUUUGCCUUUAGAAAUACUUAUCACUGCUGCUUAAUAAUAAUGUUUGUAACUGAAACUAGCAUAUUCCAAUAGGCAGCCAUCUAACGUGUAUUUCUCUUGAAAUUUUGGUUGGUUUAGAAUGAGUUAGCAACUAUCAACCUGGUUCACCUAAAACCGAUAUCCUAGUGGGACCAAUUCACAACUUAAGUGGAACUAACUGAAUCAAAAGUGCCAUGUAUGAUUGCAUAGCUUAUAUCUAAGCAAUGUUGAGAUUCAUUAUGAAUGUAUGCAGCUGA
Molecule: non-coding RNA, 417 nt
Organism: Lupinus albus (white lupine)
Lineage: Eukaryota; Viridiplantae; Streptophyta; Magnoliopsida; Fabales; Fabaceae
Source: the annotation of a GenBank genome assembly